Piliocolobus tephrosceles (Ugandan red Colobus) is the source of this 1166-nucleotide long non-coding RNA. RefSeq lists it as uncharacterized. NCBI's taxonomy places the organism in Eukaryota, Metazoa, Chordata, Mammalia, Primates, Cercopithecidae. The record is from RefSeq and is a predicted model, not a curated record. The transcript is spliced from 2 exons.
GGAGGCUGAGGCAGGAGAAUGGCGUGAACCCAGGAGGCGGAGCUGGCAGUGAGCUGAGAUCAAGCCGCUGCACUCCAGCCUGGGCAACAGAGUAAGACUCCGUCUCAAAAAAAAAAGGAAUUAGAUUGAAAAUUGUUCUCAUCACAAAUACAAGCCAGUUUUAGAAACUGUUAUUGCUUAUGAAUAAAGAAAUAGAAGUUACAAUGCUAAGGUUAUUAUAUAAUGCAUACUCAUAUGGCCAGCCUGUAAUUCAAAGGAAAAAGAUCAAAGUCUACAGAUAAACAGACUGUAGAUGAGUAAAUCCAUUUUUCUUAAAGACUCUGUAUUUUGUAGAAUUCUGUUCUCUCAUACUUUAAGUUGUCAUGGGCAAGGUAUUUUCCCAUUCCUGGCUACAGGAAGAUCAUUCUUAGUCCAGUAGUGUGCUGGAGCGAGCUUGCACCGGCUUACAAGAGCCAACUGUGAACAUUUUUUCUAGCUUCAGUGCCGUCAAGUUGGUAGUUUGAAAUUGGACAUGGUGGGAGUAUUUACACCAAAAAAAUUAGUAAACACUACAAAUCGGAUCUUUUAUUUUCCCUUGAAAGCCAUCUGUUAAACAUAUAUCAGCACACCCUAGAGGCCACAUUCACGUCUAUUCCUACAGAUACGAAAGUAAGGAACAGAACACAUUUUGUGAAAUAAAGCAUAUGAGGUAAAUCCCCCACCCAAAACCGCAUCUGGAUCUUUCCUUUGUGGGUAUUAUGGUCCAUGGUUAUCUUCUGACCAACAAAUCUCUGUUUAAUCAUGUUUUGACCACAGAAAAUCUCUCUAGGCUGUUACCAGGCUGCAGAUCCACUAAAGACUCUCCAGGCAAUCAGGAAAGGUGAAAGUUGCAGAUUGUUAGAGGAAAAAUUACAGUUUAAUGGCUGCCACAUCCAGUUUGGAAUGACCAAAGCAACAACACACCUGAGGGUGAACAGAGGUUAUCUUUUUUUCCUCAUCCCUAUUGCCGGAACAGAAUGCCAAGACCUGACGUGUAUGGCUUCCUGGGAAAGGAGAAGUGGGAAAACCAAGAUCAAGACCAGUCUCUGCCUCCAAGCUAUAUUUUCUUCUUUCUGUUGCCUUGACUAUUGUGUAAGUUAGAAUUAUCUAAUAAACUCUGCAGAAGCCUGCUAGGGAUCCAAAACACA